MicroRNA from Caenorhabditis elegans, 24 nucleotides. NCBI's taxonomy places the organism in Eukaryota, Metazoa, Nematoda, Chromadorea, Rhabditida, Rhabditidae. The record is from Ensembl.
UACAAAGUAUUUGAAAAGUCGUGC